Delphinapterus leucas (beluga whale) is the source of this 995-nucleotide non-coding RNA. Lineage: Eukaryota; Metazoa; Chordata; Mammalia; Artiodactyla; Monodontidae. The record is from RefSeq and is a predicted model, not a curated record.
UCAUGUAACUUCUAUACAGAGAACUAGAGCCUUGGGGAAUCUUAGAAAAUUAUAUCUGGGAUGAGGGUGGAGGAAGGCUAAAGGUGGUCUAAUAAAGUGUUCUCAUUUUGUAGAUGAGAAAACUGAUGCCUGAAGAAGGUACAACAUGCUCAAGUUCAUACAGCAUUUAGUGGUGGAGAUGCGACCCAACCCAGGUCUCGUGACAAAAGCCCAGCUAGCCUAACACUCUCUCCUUGACUCACCUCCUUGAACCUGGAAGGGUCCACAAAGAAGUCCUGCCCUUCCCUUCAGGAGGAACUAAAAUAAGAUGAAAACCUUAGGCAGUUACCUUUGAAUACGAAAAUUAGGUCCUUGUCAAAAUCCUCAUAAGCAGCCUGUAUACCAUUUACCAGGGAUGGCCAGAAGAGAGAAAUGAAAUUGAGUUCGACUCUUCGUAGGUGAGGAUGCUUUCUCCAGAAGUACCUAAUGGAACACAAGGGAGAAAACCACACACAAUAGUCUAAGCAGGCAGCUUCUGUGAGUCUUGGGCUGGUAUUGAUCCUAUAAGAUUGCUGGGAGGAUAUAACAUACAGUGAAGGCAAUGCUUCCAGCACAGUGACCAGCAUAUGGCCAGCACUUCACGGUGAUACUGUCCAUCUGGAAGCACAAUGUUUUAAAGACUCAUCUAUGUACAUCUGAUUCAGUGCUUCUCAGUGCUGUACAUUACUCUAUGGCAGGCAUUCACCAUAUUUUACGCAUAUAUUCUCCUCCCGAUGGACUCCCAGGUGCCCUCUAACUUCGAUCACCAAGGCCAAGACUGCAAUGAACGUCCCUGACAUGGCCAGGUCUCACCAGGUACCUGAAGAAAUGGAGAUUGGAAGAAAUCAAGGUAGGGGCUAUAGGUUAAGAUUAGGUGAGUAUGAGGUCCUCACCAAAUCUUAGAACCAAGAAAGACUGCUGCUUUUAUUCCAAUUCCCAUAUUUCAUGGGCCUGGGGCUCAGGCAAAUGAUGGCAGG